UACGUAGGUGGCAAGCGCUGUCCGGAUUUACUGGGCGUAAAGAGCGCGCAGGCGGUCGAAUAAGUCGAAUGUGAAAGCCCCCGGCUCAACUGGGGAGGGUCAUUCGAUACUGUCCGACUUGAAGGCAGGAGAGAGAAGCAGAAUUCCCGGUGUAGUGGUGAAAUGCGUAGAGAUCGGCAGGAACACCCAGGGGGAAACCAGUCGACUGGGCAGCACCUGACGCUGAGGUGCGAGAGCGUGGGGAGCGAACCGG
Molecule: ribosomal RNA, 253 nt
Filed under: uncultured bacterium
Lineage: Bacteria
Description: partial 16S ribosomal RNA
Rfam family: Bacterial small subunit ribosomal RNA
Source: RNAcentral